Molecule: long non-coding RNA, 3829 nt
Organism: Alligator mississippiensis (American alligator)
Lineage: Eukaryota; Metazoa; Chordata; Crocodylia; Alligatoridae
Exons: 2
Source: RefSeq, a predicted model, not a curated record
GUCAGUGCCUGGGUCUAUUAACCCAGAAAUUGCACCUUUUUUUCAAAUUUAAAAGAAAAUAUGCCGCCAGACGGAGACUUUGAAGCUGCACUUUAGCACACAGGAACCUUUUAGAGCUGAGCCCUAGAGACAGGGAAGCACCCUGCCCCCAAGUGAUUUUAGGGUAGGCAGAGGUGGCUUCUGUCCUGUGCUUCACCGAUGCUUAGCAUGGACAGUCUAGAAAAGAGCUGCACCAGCAACAGCCAAGACUGCUGCAGGCUGCACAAUGGAUAUUUCUAUGCAGGAUUAAAAAACAGAUAGAAAUGUGAACAUACAGGUGCCAGGAGGAGGAGAAAAGCCCACAAAGUGCUGUUUAGUCUCUACUAUAGGUUAUGUGUACAUGUAUAUAUGCUACUACGGCUGCAUCCUCACCAGCGAUGCUACAAAACAAUUUUGCAAGGACUCCUUAUCAACCCGUCCCUUCCUGGCCGAGGCAGCAAAGCCCGUCCGUUCUAGCCGCUCCAGCCCACAGCGAGGGGCGUUUGGGAGCCGGUCCCCAGGGCCCUGCAUCCCAGACCGGGAGAACAGAAGCAGAAGAGGCCCGAGGUCCACCGCACACGAAUCCAACGCACCGCUCUUUCAGCCCCUCCGAGCCCCUUCCACUAGUGACGUGGCCCUGAUGGACAUUUCAUCCCUUUCUCCCACCGUUUCAUUAACCACUUCCUGGCAGAUAUUUCUGCCUGAUAAGCCUGCACCUUGUCCCUGUCGCUCCUCAAAGCCCUCCGGCAGCCUUGCCUACAAAUGGUAGUGCCUUCAAUUAAAGCAACACGCAAGCCUCUGGACCCGCAGACGUGCACGCGCCUGAAUGAGCGGCCCUCCAAGCCUCACGACCUCGUUCUCCCUGCCUGGGUAGUGCCACGUCCCCACCUGGCCACUGAUUGCAGCUCCCCGGGGCAAAGCUGACUCCACACAGGCAAGUGAAGAUCAUCUGUUUAUUCGUUGCACUGAACGCCUAAGGGCCCAUCCCGGGUGAGAACGCUGCGAUUCCAUGUACAUAGUCAAACAACAGCCCAUGCCGCUGGGGGUUCGAGCCACAUCCGCUCAGCCCCGCUUCUGCCCUAUACUCAAAGCAAGAACUUCCCCUUGCACACAGGCCCGGCUCCACAGCGAGGGACUCAUCCCAUUUUUUGUUGAGUCCUGUUACAACGGGAUCUGAACUCCCAGACCCAAAAUACCCACCACAGGGUUCAUUGGAAAAGCUGGUUGAUGCAUUGCAGACAAGUCCACGUGCCCUCCCUCCGGAAAAUGAAGGUCAGUACCGCGGCUCAGCCAGUGCUUGCCACAACGCCAUAAACACCCACCUGCCAGGCAGCCUCCCCUGAGAUGGGUCCCAGAGACGAGUCCGGGCUGGGCUCUUGGGAUGCCUUGGGCAUAGAUGUAUAUUCUUAUAUUUGUGGACAUAUAUUCUUACACAUAGAUGUACAACCCUUCACUAGGGCUGCACUGCAGAGUCCCAUGCUGCCUUCCCUGCAAGGCUUCCUGUUCCCUUCCAGUGUCUUCUCCUGCUUUUCCCCAUCAUCCCGCCUCAGCCUCAGCAACCCACGUUAAACGCCAGACACCGUCCUCUCAAAAUCACAGAACCACAGAAUCGGAGACGCGGGGCUGGAAGGGAGCUCCACAGGUCACAUCGAGUCCAACCCCUGCCUGAGGCAGGAUCAGCCCUGUGCAAACCAGCCCAGACAAACCCAUUGUCUAAGCUCAGACACAAAAAAAGCAGAAAAACCCACCUAACUGUGGGGAAAGGAGUCAGUAAGGUGACUUUUGCAGCCCCCGUCCCACCCCCACACCGCCUCCCGCGUCAGCCACGAGGUCUGGGUAGACCGCAGGCCCCCCAGAGCAGAGGCCCUCCCUGCGACGUGCGGUUCAGCGCCCGACACCACGGAGCCUUCGUUCCGGGGGGCCUCUCCGGGUACCCCUGCCACAAGUCUCCCCGGGACAGCCGCCGAGCCCUCGAGGAUAACGUGGCUGCCAGGGCACGGCGAGGUGGCAUCAGGAUUUCAUUUCAGAGAGCUGGAUCCCUCCGGCAAAGCCCUCGGUGCAGCACAGCACAGCACAGCACAGCACAGCACAGCACAGCACAAAAGAUCCUCUCUGAUUAGACGAGAGCUACCGAGUGCCAGCUGCAGGGCUCGCACAGAGAUCUUAGGAACAAACAAGAAACCUUGGCUUCCAGGCAGGAAAUCCCCGUUACUACACCUUUCUGAUUUACACUGAUCCCUGAUACGCACCACAUGUGUCCCCUCCUGCCUUGGCCCGCAUUCGCAAUGGUUCUGUUCCACAUUUAAGUGAUGAAAAGUUAAGACCUGUGGUUACAACUUCUAUGAGAAACUUCAUUUUGAAGGGCUGCUACAUUUCAACUUUAUUGCCAUGAGGAAAACUGAAGGAACAAAAGCCUUCAGUCAUUCCCUGACCUGAAAAACCCUUGUGAAGACAUUUAAUAAGUGUAAGUUCUCCGCGCCGGUUGUUGAAAUGCUGACCUGCGGGUUAAAGCACCAGCAUUUGUUUCUACAAAUGUUUUGCAUGAACACUGUCCGCGGCUCUACGCGCUACGGUAGUUCUUCCUCUAGAUGCCAGACCACAGUUGGCUUUUGCUAUUAAACUGUCUGCCCAGAUACAGCUUCAAGACAAAAUCUUCCCUGGAGAUGGUAGGGUGGGUGGCCUGGACACAGGUAGCAACCCCCCGACCGCCAAACCAGCAAACAAGAUACAGAGAGACGGAGAAAAAUGGUGUCAAAAGUCCCACCUGCCGGGGAGCAGCAGGAUACAAAGGUGCCGGUGAGCAAGAUCCAAUCUAAGUUUGGAGAAAAGCAAGAAAAAGAUCAGAAAACUGGCCAAGGUGCCUGCCUUUUCUAUUUAGUGCUUCCCUCUUUGAGGAGAUCUCUGCAAACUUCCUUUUCUACAGACCUGCCCACUGGGAUCUGUCUGGUAUUAAUUGGCUCCUUAAAUAAUUACUUAUGGAAAAUCUUCAGCUAAUGCCUCUUUUAAGUUGCAGAGCUACAAAAAAGUAUUUAAAAAAAUAAACAAGCACGAAACAAAAAUAUUGCUACUUUUCUAUUUGUACCUAUCGCUGCUGCUGCUUUAUUUAGAUGGAGGGCAGAAAUCGGGCCUGAAGUUUCUUUGUGUUGAUCAUUGCUGGCAGAAAGUGUCCAGGGGAAAAGUGGCACUUGGACAAAUUCUGUGGAGAAAAAUCCUCAAAAGAGAGAGACAGCACUAAUAGAGGAGGCAACGCCGACAGCUGUGAAACCCUCCCAGAUGCUGAAAUGCUUUCUAAAAAAAUCGUCUUUGGUGAGAAAAGUAAACGCAACAAACAGCUCUGCACGAUGAACGCCUCGGGAAGCAGCUCCUGUUAUGGACAGGCGGAGCAAGCUGCGAGCACGGCCCGAAAGUGCAGGUAAAAAUCCCACUGAUUUCAACAGCUCCUCCUGAUGCAUCCUGGGGUAAGGAGAGAGAGAGAGGUCCGCAGGCUGCACGCCUUCGCCCAGAACGUGCCAAAUGCCGAGUACUAAAAAAAGAUGCAGGACGAGCUCUCUCUGGGCACAGGCGCUGCUAGGAGAGGAGCAGCCCUUUGCUGCUGUUCUGCUUUUCCUGGCCAGAGCCGAACCCGCGGCUGCAACAAUUUGCACCAGCUGAAAUCCUGGGCCCCCUCCUCAGUCCUGGUAAAAGUGUUGUUUCUUUCUUAUAUUAUGAUAAUUACUUUUGAAAACCUGGCUCAUUUUUACUCUUUAUGCCUGUAAACAUUUAGUCCAAGGCUUUGUUAGAUUUGUAAAUAAAUUUCUCCAUUUUCCCUUUA